RNAcentral lists this transfer RNA (74 nucleotides) under Peptoniphilus koenoeneniae. RNAcentral's name for it is "tRNA-Cys". It matches the Rfam family "tRNA". Rfam says of the family: Transfer RNA (tRNA) molecules are approximately 80 nucleotides in length. Their secondary structure includes four short double-helical elements and three loops (D, anti-codon, and T loops). Further hydrogen bonds mediate the characteristic L-shaped molecular structure. tRNAs have two regions of fundamental functional importance: the anti-codon, which is responsible for specific mRNA codon recognition, and the 3' end, to which the tRNAs corresponding amino acid is attached (by aminoacyl-tRNA synthetases). tRNAs cope with the degeneracy of the genetic code in two manners: having more than one tRNA (with a specific anti-codon) for a particular amino acid; and 'wobble' base-pairing, i.e. permitting non-standard base-pairing at the 3rd anti-codon position. Lineage: Bacteria; Bacillati; Bacillota; Tissierellia; Tissierellales; Peptoniphilaceae. The record is from RNAcentral. RNAcentral also lists the same sequence under 1 other name.
GGCGACAUAGCCAAGUGGUAAGGCACAGGUCUGCAACACCUUUAUCACCAGUUCGAAUCUGGUUGUCGCCUCCA